UACGAAGGGGGCUAGCGUUGUUCGGAAUCACUGGGCGUAAAGGGCGCGUAGGCGGCCGAUCAAGUCGGGGGUGAAAGCCUGUGGCUCAACCACAGAAUUGCCUUCGAUACUGUUUGGCUUGAGACCGGAAGAGGUUAGUGGAACUGCGAGUGUAGAGGUGAAAUUCGUAGAUAUUCGCAAGAACACCAGUGGCGAAGGCGGCUGACUGGUCCGGUUCUGACGCUGAGGCGCGAAAGCGUGGGGAGCAAGCAGG
RNAcentral lists this ribosomal RNA (253 nucleotides) under uncultured bacterium. RNAcentral describes it as "partial 16S ribosomal RNA". It matches the Rfam family "Bacterial small subunit ribosomal RNA", at positions 524 to 776 of the family's 1533-position model. The record is from RNAcentral.